This 951-nucleotide ribosomal RNA is filed under the name uncultured bacterium. RNAcentral describes it as "bacterial SSU rRNA". It matches the Rfam family "Bacterial small subunit ribosomal RNA", at positions 53 to 1002 of the family's 1533-position model. The record is from RNAcentral.
ACAUGCAGUCGAGGGGCAGCACGGUGUAGCAAUACACUGGUGGCGACCGGCGCACGGGUGCGUAACGCGUAUGCAACCUACCCAUAACAGGGGGAUAACACUGAGAAAUUGGUACUAAUACCCCAUAACAUCAGGACCGGCAUCGGUUCUGGUUGAAAACUCCGGUGGUUAUGGAUGGGCAUGCGUUGUAUUAGCUGGUUGGUGAGGUAACGGCUCACCAAGGCAACGAUACAUAGGGGGACUGAGAGGUUAACCCCCCACAUUGGUACUGAGACACGGACCAAACUCCUACGGGAGGCAGCAGUGAGGAAUAUUGGUCAAUGGACGCAAGUCUGAACCAGCCAUGCCGCGUGCAGGAAGACGGCUCUAUGAGUUGUAAACUGCUUUUGUACGAGGGUAAACGCUCUUACGUGUAAGAGCCUGAAAGUAUCGUACGAAUAAGGAUCGGCUAACUCCGUGCCAGCAGCCGCGGUAAUACGGAGGAUCCAAGCGUUAUCCGGAUUUAUUGGGUUUAAAGGGUGCGUAGGCGGUUUGAUAAGUUAGAGGUGAAAUACCGGUGCUUAACACCGGAACUGCCUCUAAUACUGUUGAACUAGAGAGUAGUUGCGGUAGGCGGAAUGUAUGGUGUAGCGGUGAAAUGCUUAGAGAUCAUACAGAACACCGAUUGCGAAGGCAGCUUACCAAACUAUAUCUGACGUUGAGGCACGAAAGCGUGGGGAGCAAACAGGAUUAGAUACCCUGGUAGUCCACGCAGUAAACGAUGAUAACUCGUUGUCGGCGAUACACAGUCGGUGACUAAGCGAAAGCGAUAAGUAAUCCACCUGGGGAGUACGACCGCAAGGUUGAAACUCAAAGGAAUUGACGGGGGCCCGCACAAGCAGUGGAGUAUGUGGUUUAAUUCGAAGCAACGCGAAGAACCUUACCAGGUCUUGACAUCCGAUGCAUAGCUUA